RNAcentral lists this ribosomal RNA (422 nucleotides) under uncultured bacterium. RNAcentral describes it as "bacterial SSU rRNA". It matches the Rfam family "Bacterial small subunit ribosomal RNA", at positions 355 to 774 of the family's 1533-position model. The record is from RNAcentral.
UGAGGAAUAUUGGACAAUGGAUGGAAAUCUGAUCCAGCCAUGCCGCGUGCAGGAAGACGGCCCUAUGGGUUGUAAACUGCUUUUGUAUGGGAGCAAUAAGGACUACGUGUAGUUUGAUGAGAGUACCAUACGAAUAAGCAUCGGCUAACUCCGUGCCAGCAGCCGCGGUAAUACGGAGGAUGCGAGCGUUAUCCGGAUUUAUUGGGUUUAAAGGGUGCGUAGGCGGCGAUAUAAGUCAGUGGUGAAAUAUUUCGGCUUAACCGAGAGACUGCCAUUGAUACUGUGUUGCUAGAAUAUGGUUGCUGUGAGUGGAAUGUGUGGUGUAGCGGUGAAAUGCUUAGAUAUCACACAGAAUAUCGAUUGCGAAGGCAGCUCACAAAGCCAUUAUUGACGCUGAGGCACAAAAGUGUGGGGAUCAAACA